GAGGCCCAGAGAGGAAGGGGGCGUGGCCAAGCGUGUGAGACUUUUCUUAGUUUUCUUACUCUCAGAUCCUGCUAGGGAUCCUGAAGAUCGAACACAGGAGGAAACAGGCUUUCUGGGUCUUCUGAGGUAGAAGAAGCUUUUGAGUGCCAGGGAGGAAAUGAUGGGACCAGGAAGCUAACCUUGAGGCUCUCAGAAGGCCACACCACCCCCAACCGUGGAGGCAGAACCCAGCCCACGCUCAGCAACUGAACUGGCUUUCCCUACACCUGUUCCUGGUCACCCAGAAGUCCUUACUACCUGUGCCCUGCGGCCUGGGAGAGAAAUAGCAGGAGAGAGAGGGAGGUCCCACCCAGACGAGACACCAUGCGCGUCCAUUACCUGUGGCUCCUCUUGAUCCUAGUGUCUCCCUCUCCUACUUCCAGUGGAAGUUCUCACCCCUCAGUAACAACUUCUGACCAGAGUUGUGGCCUUUAGGACACGUGGCUUCGGCUCGGUACAGCUCAGCAAAUGAUUGGACCGUUGACCAUCCCCAAACCCUCUUUGCCUGGGAGGGAGCCUGCAUCAGGAUUCCUUGCAAGUACAAAACUCCACUACCCAAGGCACGUCUGGACAACAUCCUCCUUUUUCAGAACUAUGAGUUUGACAAGGCCACCAAGAAAUUCACAGGAACUGUCCUGUACAACGCCACAAAGACUGAGAAGGACCCAGAGUCUGAGCUGUACCUUUCUAAGCAAGGGAGAGUAACAUUUCUGGGGAACAGAAUAGACAAUUGUACCCUGAAAAUCCACCCGAUACGUGCCAAUGACAGUGGGAAUCUGGGGUUGAGGAUGACCGCAGGGACUGAACGAUGGAUGGAGCCCAUUCACCUCAAUGUCUCGGAGAAACCGUUCCAACCUUACAUCCAGAUGCCAUCAGAAAUCCGGGAAUCCCAAAGUGUCACUCUGACCUGUGGACUGAAUUUCUCCUGCUUUGGGUAUGACAUCCUCUUGAAGUGGUUCCUAGAAGAUUCUGAGAUCACCUCCAUCACCUCUUCUGUCACCUCCAUCACCUCUUCUGUCACCUCCUCCAUUAAGAAUGUCUAUACAGAGAGCAAGCUCACCUUCCAACCAAAGUGGACGGACCACGGAAAGAGUGUGAAGUGCCAAGUCCAGCACUCCUCCAAAGUGCUCUCAGAGCGCACUGUGCGUCUGGAUGUUAAAUACCCCGAAGCUGGAGAUCAAGGUCAAUCCCACAGAGGUGGAAAAGAACAAUUCUGUGACCAUGACAUGCCGGGUUAACAGCAGCAACCCGAAACUCAGGACCGUGGCGGUGUCUUGGUUCAAGGAUGGGCGCCCCCUAGAGGAUCAGGAACUGGAACAGGAACAACAGAUGUCCAAGCUAAUUCUGCAUUCAGUGACCAAGGACAUGAGAGGGAAAUACCGGUGCCAGGCUUCCAACGACAUAGGCCCAGGAGAGUCGGAAGAAGUGGAACUCACGGUGCACUAUGCUCCAGAACCCUCCAGGGUUCACAUCUACCCUUCCCCCGCUGAAGAGGGACAGUCAGUAGAGCUGAUUUGUGAGUCACUGGCCAGUCCAAGUGCAACAAACUACACCUGGUAUCACAACAGGAAACCUAUACCUGGAGACACCCAAGAGAAGCUCCGCAUCCCUAAAGUCUCCCCGUGGCAUGCUGGGAAUUACUCUUGCUUGGCAGAGAACCGUCUGGGUCAUGGAAAGAUAGACCAGGAAGCUAAGCUGGAUGUCCAUUAUGCUCCCAAGGCGGUGACCACAGUGAUUCAGAGCUUCACACCAAUCCUGGAAGGAGACAGUGUGACCCUGGUCUGUAGGUACAACUCCAGCAAUCCAGACGUCACCUCCUACAGAUGGAACCCUCAAGGUUCUGGGAGUGUGCUCAAACCCGGAGUGCUGAGGAUUCAGAAAGUGACAUGGGAUUCCAUGCCUGUCAGCUGUGCUGCCUGCAACCACAAGUGUUCGUGGGCCCUCCCUGUCAUCCUGAAUGUCCACUACGCCCCCAGAGACGUGAAGGUACUGAAGGUAAGCCCCGCAUCAGAGAUCCGCGCUGGGCAGCGUGUCCUCCUCCAAUGCGACUUCGCAGAGAGCAACCCGGCAGAGGUCCGCUUCUUCUGGAAGAAGAAUGGGAGUCUCGUGCAGGAAGGGAGGUACCUGAGCUUCGGCUCCGUCUCCCCAGAAGAUUCUGGAAAUUAUAACUGCAUGGUCAACAACUCCAUCGGAGAGACCUUGUCACAGGCCUGGAACCUCCAAGUGCUGUAUGCUCCUCGGAGGCUGCGUGUGUCCAUCAGCCCUGGGGACCAUGUGAUGGAGGGGAAGAAGGCCACCUUGUCCUGUGAGAGUGAUGCCAAUCCGCCCAUCUCACAGUACACCUGGUUUGACUCCAGUGGCCAAGACCUCCACUCCUCAGGCCAGAAACUGAGACUGGAACCCCUGGAGGUCCAACACACGGGUUCCUACCGCUGCAAAGGGACCAAUGGGAUAGGCACAGGAGAGUCACCACCCAGCACCCUCACUGUCUACUACAGUCCAGAGACCAUCGGCAAGCGGGUCGCCUUGGGACUAGGCUUCUGCCUGACUAUCUGCAUCCUGGCCAUCUGGGGGAUGAAAAUCCAGAAAAAAUGGAAGCAAAACCGCAGCCAGCAGGGGCUUCAGGAAAAUUCCAGUGGCCAGAGCUUUUUUGUGAGGAACAAAAAGGCUAGGAGGACCCCUCUCUCAGAAGGCCCCCAAUCCCAGGGAUGCUACAAUCCGGCAAUGGAUGACACCGUUAGUUAUGCCAUCUUGCGCUUUCCAGAGAGUGACACGCACAACACUGGAGAUGCAGGGACCCCAGCAACACAGGCUCCUCCUCCAAACAACAGCGACUCGGUCACUUACUCGGUGAUACAGAAGCGGCCUAUGGGGGAUUAUGAGAAUGUGAAUCCGAGCUGCCCGGAGGAUGAGAGCAUCCAUUACUCAGAGCUGGUUCAGUUUGGGGCUGGUAAGCGGCCCCAGGCAAAGGAAGACGUAGACUAUGUGACCCUCAAGCACUGAGGUGGGUAGCAGCUGCUGUUUCAGGUUCUUGAGCCUAAAGAAGACAACUCCUUCAGCUGCUGCAGCUCAGAUGCUAAGGCACCGGCAGCUCCCUGGGCACGGACUCAGGCGUGCAUGUGGCGCACGCCUUUAACGCCAGCACUCAGGAGGCAGAGGCGGGCGGAUUUCUGAGUUCGAGGCCAGCCUGCUCUACAGAGUGGGUUCCAGGACAGCCAGGGUUUUUCAAGGAAACCCUGUAUUGGAAAAAUGAAAAACCAACCAACCAACCAAACAAAAAACAACCUGUGUCUGGCCAGACCUGACCGGCCUUCUCUGGCUGGUGAUCCUCCCUCACGCAUUGUGCCACGUCUGCUUCUCCAACCCCAGGCACCCACCACCAUCUGCUCCAUCCUGUGCCUCACUGCAGCUGGAUGUGUUCCUGUUGUAAUCGUCACUAACACUUCUUCUCUGACCCCUUGAUACUCUACCCCGUUCACUAAUCUUACUACCCACUUUCUGGCCCUGGGGAGAAAUCCCCAGGAAGGACAGAAGUAAGGAAGCAAGAGGCACUGUCCCCAGUUGGCUUUUCUUCUACAAAGAUGUUGGACCUUCUGUGGAGAUGGUGCCUUCCCUCGGGGGUCCUGGACGCUGAGCAGACAGAACGGAAUGGACAUAUAUAAUUCAAUAAGUGCUUCAUAUUAAAAGUGGCGCAGCUGUCACAUGAACUCCUUUGUAUUGGUGAUUGAUCACACUGGAAACAUGGAGAUGGAGAUGGCUUCUUGGUGCCUAGAGGGAGGGGAAAAGACUCAGGGUAAUCUCAUUAUCAAAUCAGUCCCUAGAGGCACCAUUGUCUCACAGUGUUGGUAUUGAACUCAGGGUUUCAUGCAUGCGAGCUGUGAUGGUUUGAAUAUGCUUGGCCUAGGGAGUGGUAAUAUUAGGAGGCGUGGCCUUGUUGGAGUAGGUAUGUCAUUGUGGGCAUGGGCUUUAGCCAGUUUUCUCCUAGCAGCCUUCUCCUAGCACAUGAAGAUGUAGAACUCUCAGCUCCUCCUGCACCAUGCCAACCUGGAUGCUGCCAUCCUCCUGCCUUGAUGAUAAUGGACUGAACCUCUGAACCUGUAAGCCAGCCCCACUUAAAUGUCCUUAUAAGC
This is an RNA transcript of Mus musculus (house mouse), 4169 nucleotides long. It is a transcript of the gene named CD22 antigen, with no coding region annotated. The record is from RefSeq and is marked validated. Lineage: Eukaryota; Metazoa; Chordata; Mammalia; Rodentia; Muridae. The transcript has 16 exons.